AGCUCCAAUAGCGUAUAUUAAAGUUGUUGCGGUUAAAAAGCUCGUAGUUGGAUUUCUGUCGAGGAUGGUCGGUCCGCACUUUGUGCGUGCAUCUGAUUCAGCCUUGGCAUCCUCUUGGGGAACGUAUCUGCGCUUAAUUGCGUGGUGCGGAAUUCAAGACUUUUACUUUGAGGAAAUUAGAGUGUUCACGGCAGGCAAUCGCCUUGAAUACAUUAGCAUGGAAUAAUAAUAUAGGACCUUGGUCCCAUUUUGUUGGUUUCUGGAACUAAGGUAAUGAUUAAUAGGGAUAAUUGGGGGCAUUCG
RNAcentral lists this ribosomal RNA (303 nucleotides) under uncultured eukaryote. Its description in RNAcentral is "SSU rRNA". It matches the Rfam family "Eukaryotic small subunit ribosomal RNA", at positions 587 to 894 of the family's 1831-position model. The record is from RNAcentral.